This 66-nucleotide transfer RNA is filed under the name Oxylipeurus chiniri. Its description in RNAcentral is "tRNA-Val". The record is from RNAcentral. Lineage: Eukaryota; Metazoa; Arthropoda; Insecta; Psocodea; Philopteridae.
GGAAGUGUAUUUUAAGAAAAAUAAUUUGUUUACACCAAAUUGAUCUGCCAAAAAGCAGCGCAUCCA